CAAUAGCGUAUAUUAAAGUUGUUGCGGUAAAAAAGCUCGUAGUUGGAUUUCUGUUGAGGACGACCGGUCCGCACCAUGUGCGCGCAUCUGGCUCGGCCUCGGCAUCCUCUCGAAAGACGUUUCUGCGCUUGAUUGCGUGGGGCGGAGUUCGAGACUUUUACUUUGAGGAAAUUAGAGUGUUCACGGCAGGCUAUCGCCAGAAUACAUUAGCAUGGAAUAAUACUAUAGGAUCUCGAUUCUAUUUUGUUGGUUUCUAGAAGCGAGAUAAUGAUUAAUAGGGACAAUUGGGGGCAUUCGUAUCAACACGUCAGAGGUGGAAUUCUUGGAUUGUGUUGCGACGAACUACUGCGAAAGCAUUUGCCAAGGAUGUUUUCAUUGAUCAAGAACGAAAGUAAGGGGAUCGAAGACGAUCAGAUACCAU
RNAcentral lists this ribosomal RNA (421 nucleotides) under uncultured eukaryote. RNAcentral describes it as "SSU rRNA". It matches the Rfam family "Eukaryotic small subunit ribosomal RNA", at positions 592 to 1018 of the family's 1831-position model. The record is from RNAcentral.